CAGUCCAGCUUUCAAUUUGUGCUCCUCCUGCCAAAACUGUGGCAGAGAGCUUUGGGGAUGGACGUAAAUAAAACACUCUUAUCUUAGGAGGACUUCUUCAAGUGUUGAACUGUCCUCAAAGGCACAAGAGAACAUC
Molecule: small nucleolar RNA, 136 nt
Filed under: Naja naja (Indian cobra)
Lineage: Eukaryota; Metazoa; Chordata; Lepidosauria; Squamata; Elapidae
Description: Small Cajal body specific RNA 11 (ENSNNAG00000015282.1)
Rfam family: Small Cajal body specific RNA 11
About the family: scaRNAs are a specific class of small nuclear RNAs which localise to the Cajal bodies and guide the modification of RNA polymerase II transcribed spliceosomal RNAs U1, U2, U4, U5 and U12. ACA57 belongs to the H/ACA box class of guide RNAs as it has the predicted hairpin-hinge-hairpin-tail structure, conserved H/ACA-box motifs and is found associated with GAR1.
Source: Rfam by way of RNAcentral